GGAUGUGCCGGCCUGGUGGCUUGCCCGAUUUGCACGGUGACUUGAUUACACGCUCGCAUCCAUGGUCACUUCCGAAGAGCUUUAGUGCCUUCCGACUCGAAACCGCCAACCGUCGCGGCAGCUUCCCCCGCGGUUUGCCUGGGAUCCGCAGGGCCCGGGAGGGCGUUCGUUUUACCCGGGAUCCUC
Unclassified non-coding RNA from Dasypus novemcinctus (nine-banded armadillo), 186 nucleotides. The record is from Ensembl. Lineage: Eukaryota; Metazoa; Chordata; Mammalia; Cingulata; Dasypodidae.